This 1406-nucleotide ribosomal RNA is filed under the name Ramalina sp. AS-2019b. RNAcentral describes it as "partial large subunit ribosomal RNA". It matches the Rfam family "Eukaryotic large subunit ribosomal RNA", at positions 110 to 1443 of the family's 3401-position model. Lineage: Eukaryota; Fungi; Ascomycota; Lecanoromycetes; Lecanorales; Ramalinaceae. The record is from RNAcentral.
CAAAUUUGAAAUCUGGCUCCUUGGGGGUCCGAGUUGUAAUUUGUAGAGGAUGCUUCGGGUGCGGCACCGGUCUAAGUUCCUUGGAACAGGGCGUCAUAGAGGGUGAGGAUCCCGUAUGUGACCGGCGACCAAGCCCAUGUGAAGCUCCUUCGACGAGUCGAGUUGUUUGGGAAUGCAGCUCAAAAUGGGUGGUAAAUUUCAUCUAAAGCUAAAUACCGGCCAGAGACCGAUAGCGCACAAGUAGAGUGAUCGAAAGAUGAAAAGCACUUUGGAAAGAGAGUCAAAAAGUACGUGAAAUUGUUGAAAGGGAAGCGCUUGUAACCAGACCUGCCGCCGGGGGCUCCGCGGGCAUUCUUGCCCGUCUACUCCCCCGCGAUCAGGCCAGCAUCGGUUUUGGCGGCCGGAUAAAGACUCGAGGAAUGUAGCUUCGCUUCGGGGAAGUGUUAUAGCCUCUUGUGCAAUACGGCCAGCCGGGACCGAGGACCGCGCUUCGGCUAGGAUGCUGGCGUAAUGGUUGCAAGCGACCCGUCUUGAAACACGGACCAAGGAGUCUAACAUCUAUGCGAGUGUUUGGGUGUCAAACCCAUGCGCGGAAUGAAAGUGAACGGAGGUGGGAACCCUUAAGGGCGCACCAUCGACCGAUCCGGAAGUUUACGGAUGGAUUUGAGUAUGAGCAUAGCUGUUGGGACCCGAAAGAUGGUGAACUAUGCCUGAAUAGGGUGAAGCCAGAGGAAACUCUGGUGGAGGCUCGCAGCGGUUCUGACGUGCAAAUCGAUCGUCAAAUUUGGGUAUAGGGGCGAAAGACUAAUCGAACCAUCUAGUAGCUGGUUCCUGCCGAAGUUUCGUAAGUUUUUACUCUCUUUUUGCCCUGCUUCUAAAGUGAAACAUGCUAACAGUUUCAAUAGCCUCAGGAUAGCAGUAACGUUUUCAGUUUUAUGAGGUAAAGCGAAUGAUUAGAGGUCUGGGGGAUGAAACAUCCUUGUGAGUAUUAUCCUUUCCCCUAUAUCUCCCCCGGGACAGCACGCUGACUUAGAAACCUAGCACCUAUUCUCAAACUUUCAAUAUGUAAGAAGUCCUUGUUACUUAGUUGAACGUGGACAUUUGAAUGCACCGUUACUAGUGGGCCAUUUUUGGUAAGCAGAACUGGCGAUGCGGGAUGAACCGAACGUGGGGUUAAGGUGCCGGAAUGUACGCUCAUCAGACACCAAGGGGACAACUUGUGGUGUCUUGCCGGGGGAUAGACCCCCGGCAUCAGUCUGCGAAAGGCGAGGUCUUUGACCUGUAGGGGUCGGCGGUCGCUCCGGCGAUGGCCUACCCUCUGCUGUCCCAUGGCUGGGGCAGCUCACAGAUCAAGCAAAGGCCGGCGGCAGUAGUACGCCGUUGGAGAUAUGAUCGGCCCCCGAAGG